Molecule: long non-coding RNA, 986 nt
Filed under: Gossypium raimondii (Peruvian cotton)
Lineage: Eukaryota; Viridiplantae; Streptophyta; Magnoliopsida; Malvales; Malvaceae
Description: long non-coding RNA (GRAI_LNC004835)
Source: RNAcentral
AGGUGUCGGCACUACAACAACAAUCCGCGCUCUGCCCAUGACAUCAAACCUUAACCAAUUGGCAUCCAUAAUAGAAAAUCAGCCUAAGGCAUUCAGCCCUUGCUCCCUGAGAGCAUUCGACCAAAGCAAAAAUUAACACCUGCCAGCCCCUUGACUAGGCUUUCAACUACUUACCCUAAGGAGUAGAGGUUUCCAAGGCACUUAAUUCGCAGGAGGGGUAUGCGCCUCACGAUCCUCACCUUAAUAGAACCAAAAACGAUUAGACCAUCACUAUUCAGCCAACAACAACCAACAAACCCCUCAAAUAAAACCGGAAACAAGCUUUUUUUAAAACAAAUGGAUUACACUUACGCAAAAUUAUGAUAUUAUACUGAAACUCCAAAUCACACACAACCAGUAACGAGACCAGAGGGUUAGCUACGGCACUAGGAAGGAUCAAAGUCUGGACGGCGGCAACACAGUAGGUAGGGAUUGCAAAAGAUGAAAUCAAGAGGGUGUUAACGUGAAAUUAUGGAAACAAAUGAGUAAAAAGAAAGAAGAUAAAGAAAGGAGGGAAAAAUAGAGAGAAUUCAACAAAAGAGGAGGUUACAGCAACAAAAGUGGAAAACAAAGAAAAGUGGGGAAAUGGGGGAGAGGGGGGCGACACUAGGAGGAUUUUUAGGAGAUAAGUCCUCAAAAUUUUAAAAAAUAAACUAAUUAAAUCCUACCUAAUCUGAUUCCGUUUUUAUCUCAAUCAGGUUGCCUAGAGUUUGAGUUUGACCAACAUGGGUGGCACAGCAGGGAAGAAAUAAUAAUAAUAAACAAUCAUUUCACUUAAGCACAAACGAGAUUUGAAUUUGAGUUGCAGAAGGAAAAGGAGAAUGCUUAACCAUGGGGCUGUUGCCCACACUUGUUAAUAAACUUAUGAAAACUAGAGAUAAUCUAAGCGUCACAAGCUAGAUAUUGGGAGAAAAAUAAUAAAAAAAAUUACGGGAAAGAAGUCGAAC